AGCCUUACAAGGAGGGAAGAAAAGGCUGAAGGCCAUAGCCAACAUGGAAAGCAAUGACCUACAUCUCUUAUCUUGGGGCCAUGUAAGUCUCCAGUCACUAAUUUGGACUCGGGAAUGCUAAAGUCAUCAGCACUGGAUGCAUUGGGAAGACUUAGAGCCCCUUUACAUACCAGACCCUAUCAACACAAAAUUGUUGGUAUUUGAGCUUUCCUAGUUGUUUGGAUUCCAAAUAAAUGAGUUUCUUCUAA
Molecule: long non-coding RNA, 248 nt
Organism: Antechinus flavipes (yellow-footed antechinus)
Lineage: Eukaryota; Metazoa; Chordata; Mammalia; Dasyuromorphia; Dasyuridae
Exons: 2
Source: RefSeq, a predicted model, not a curated record